RNAcentral lists this ribosomal RNA (1362 nucleotides) under Salmonella enterica subsp. enterica serovar Cerro str. CFSAN001679. RNAcentral's name for it is "bacterial LSU rRNA". It matches the Rfam family "Bacterial large subunit ribosomal RNA", at positions 116 to 1524 of the family's 2925-position model. Lineage: Bacteria; Pseudomonadati; Pseudomonadota; Gammaproteobacteria; Enterobacterales; Enterobacteriaceae. The record is from RNAcentral.
GAAUGGGGAAACCCAGUGUGACUCGUCACACUAUCAUUAACUGAAUCCAUAGGUUAAUGAGGCGAACCGGGGGAACUGAAACAUCUAAGUACCCCGAGGAAAAGAAAUCAACCGAGAUUCCCCCAGUAGCGGCGAGCGAACGGGGAGGAGCCCAGAGCCUGAAUCAGCAUGUGUGUUAGUGGAAGCGUCUGGAAAGGCGCGCGAUACAGGGUGACAGCCCCGUACACAAAAGCGCAUGUGCUGUGAGCUCGAUGAGUAGGGCGGGACACGUGGUAUCCUGUCUGAAUAUGGGGGGACCAUCCUCCAAGGCUAAAUACUCCUGACUGACCGAUAGUGAACCAGUACCGUGAGGGAAAGGCGAAAAGAACCCCGGCGAGGGGAGUGAAAAAGAACCUGAAACCGUGUACGUACAAGCAGUGGGAGCACCCUUUUGGGUGUGACUGCGUACCUUUUGUAUAAUGGGUCAGCGACUUAUAUUCUGUAGCAAGGUUAACCGAAUAGGGGAGCCGGAGGGAAACCGAGUCUUAAUUGGGCGUUAAGUUGCAGGGUAUAGACCCGAAACCCGGUGAUCUAGCCAUGGGCAGGUUGAAGGUUGGGUAACACUAACUGGAGGACCGAACCGACUAAUGUUGAAAAAUUAGCGGAUGACCUGUGGCUGGGGGUGAAAGGCCAAUCAAACCGGGAGAUAGCUGGUUCUCCCCGAAAGCUAUUUAGGUAGCGCCUCGUGAAUUCAUCUCCGGGGGUAGAGCACUGUUUCGGCUAGGGGGCCAUCCCGGCUUACCAACCCGAUGCAAACUGCGAAUACCGGAGAAUGUUAUCACGGGAGACACACGGCGGGUGCUAACGUCCGUCGUGAAGAGGGAAACAACCCAGACCGCCAGCUAAGGUCCCAAAGUCAUGGUUAAGUGGGAAACGAUGUGGGAAGGCCCAGACAGCCAGGAUGUUGGCUUAGAAGCAGCCAUCAUUUAAAGAAAGCGUAAUAGCUCACUGGUCGAGUCGGCCUGCGCGGAAGAUGUAACGGGGCUAAACCAUGCACCGAAGCUGCGGCAGCGACACUAUGUGUUGUUGGGUAGGGGAGCGUUCUGUAAGCCUGUGAAGGUGUGCUGUGAGGCAUGCUGGAGGUAUCAGAAGUGCGAAUGCUGACAUAAGUAACGAUAAAGCGGGUGAAAAGCCCGCUCGCCGGAAGACCAAGGGUUCCUGUCCAACGUUAAUCGGGGCAGGGUGAGUCGACCCCUAAGGCGAGGCCGAAAGGCGUAGUCGAUGGGAAACGGGUUAAUAUUCCCGUACUUGGUGUUACUGCGAAGGGGGGACGGAGAAGGCUAUGUUGGCCGGGCGACGGUUGUCCCGGUUUAAGCGUGUAGG